GCUUCCGCUUCUACUGGUGAUAUGGGAAGGGCCCACUCACUGAACUAACUCCCUUCCCUCUACUCCCAGAGCCCGCCCGGCAGGACCACCGAGCAAGGCCUUGGAAAACCAGAGAGAUUAGAGCGCAGAAUGGGGAAAUGGAGAGAGAACCUGAAAGAGCCCCAAACUCGAGGACCUAUUGCUCCCCAAGAAUAACAUCUUCCAGAAGAACUAGACAGAAAACUAGGCGUCUGGGAACUCUGAAAUCCUUGGAGGAGUAGCAUCAUCAUGACCCUCUGUGUUCCUUUUGGCAAAGGACUUGCUCCCAUUGUUUGCUUGUUCCAUUGUCUGUCUGUUAAAUAAAUAAAACCCUUUUCAUAUAUCUUUAAACUUA
RNAcentral lists this long non-coding RNA (373 nucleotides) under Homo sapiens (human). RNAcentral describes it as "HSALNT0290487". The record is from RNAcentral. Lineage: Eukaryota; Metazoa; Chordata; Mammalia; Primates; Hominidae.